RNAcentral lists this ribosomal RNA (395 nucleotides) under uncultured bacterium. RNAcentral describes it as "partial 16S ribosomal RNA". It matches the Rfam family "Bacterial small subunit ribosomal RNA", at positions 523 to 918 of the family's 1533-position model. The record is from RNAcentral.
AUACGUAGGGUGCAAGCGUUAAUCGGAAUUACUGGGCGUAAAGCGUGCGCAGGCGGUUUUGUAAGACAGUGGUGAAACCCCCGGGCUCAACCUGGGAACUGCCAUUGUGACUGCAAGGCUGGAGUGCGGCAGAGGGGGAUGGAAUUCCGCGUGUAGCAGUGAAAUGCGUAGAUAUGCGGAGGAACACCGAUGGCGAAGGCAAUCCCCUGGGCCUGCACUGACGCUCAUGCACGAAAGCGUGGGGAGCAAACAGGAUUAGAUACCCUGGUAGUCCACGCCCUAAACGAUGUCAACUGGUUGUUGGGGAUUUAUUUUCUCAGUAACGAAGCUAACGCGUGAAGUUGACCGCCUGGGGAGUACGGCCGCAAGGUUAAAACUCAAAUGAAUUGACGGGG